CGUGUAGGCGGUUUUAUAAGUCUGAUGUGAAAGCCCUGGGCUCAACCCGGGAAGUGCAUUGGAUACUGUAAGACUUGAAUACGGGAGAGGGUAGUGGAAUUCCUAGUGUAGGAGUGAAAUCCGUAGAUAUUAGGAGGAACACCAGUGGCGAAGGCGGCUACCUGGACCGAUAUUGACGCUGAGACGCGAAAGCGUGGGUAGCAAACA
RNAcentral lists this ribosomal RNA (207 nucleotides) under uncultured delta proteobacterium. RNAcentral describes it as "partial 16S ribosomal RNA". It matches the Rfam family "Bacterial small subunit ribosomal RNA", at positions 568 to 774 of the family's 1533-position model. Lineage: Bacteria; Deltaproteobacteria. The record is from RNAcentral.